AUUUAAGAAACAAUUUAUUGUUUAUUAAUUUCGAAUUAAUAUUAAGGUAUUAGUUUACCCUUAUUUA
RNAcentral lists this transfer RNA (67 nucleotides) under Chelonus munakatae. Its description in RNAcentral is "tRNA-Arg". The record is from RNAcentral. Lineage: Eukaryota; Metazoa; Arthropoda; Insecta; Hymenoptera; Braconidae.